UCAAAUCAAGUCCACUAACAAAGCCGAAACUUGAACCCAAAUCCAAAUCAAGUCCACAAAUAAAAUCCAAACCCAAACCCAAAACUCAAAUUUAAACCCAAACCCAAAACCCAAAUCAAAUCUAAACCCAAAUCCAAACCAAAUCAAGUCCACAAAUAAACCCAAACCAAGUCCACAAAUAAAACCCAAGCCAAGUCCACAUAAGGGCCCAAAUCCGAAUCAAAUCCACUAACAAAGCCGAAACUUGAAACCGAAAUCAAAUCAAGUCCACAAAUAAAAUCUAAACCCAAACCCAAAACUCAAAUCUAAACCCAAACCCAAAUCAAAUCCAAUCAAAAUCCGAAACCCAAACCUAAAACCAAAACCAUAAUCCAAACCAAGUCCACAAAUAAAAAAACCUAAACCUAAACCCAUAAAACCCAAAUCCAACCCAAGUCCACAAAUAAAAAACUCCAAACCAAAACCUAAACCCAAAAAACCCAAAACCAAACUAAGUCCACAAAUAAAACUUGAACCUGAAUCCAAAUCCAUAAACCUAACCUCAUGAACCAUAUACCAAGUUCAUGAACCACGAACCAUAUCCAUGAACCUUACCCAAGUUCGUGAACCAAAUCUCAUGAACCAUACCCAAGUUCAUAAAUAAAGUCUCAUACACCAAAUCCCUAAACCAUACGCCAAAUCCAUGAACCAUACACCAUAUCCCGUGGACCAUACCCAGAUUCAUGAACCAAGUCACAUGAACCAUAAACCAAACCUCAUAAAUCAUACACCAAGUUCAUGAAUCAUAAACUAAGUUCAUGAACCAUACCCUAUGAACCAUGAACUAAAUCCCAUGAACCAUAAACCAAGUUCAUGAACUAUAAACCAUAUCCAUAAACCAUACACCAAUCCAUGAACCAUACACCAUAUCCCAUGAACCAUACCCAAGUUCAUGAACCAUGAACCAAGUCCAUAAACUAAGUCCAUAAUCCAAAUUCAUGAACCAUAUCCAAGUUCAUGAACCAAAUUCCAUACACCAAGCCGAAUGGACCAUAUCCAAGUUCAUGAAACAAAUCCAAUAACCGAACACCAUGAACCAUACCCAAGUUCAUGACUCAAGUCUCAUGUUCAUGAACCAUAAACCAAACCUCAUGAACCAUACCCAAGUUCAUGAACCAUAAACCAAACUUCAUGACCAUACAUCAAGUUCAUGAACCCAAUCCCAUAAACCAUACCCAAGUUCAUGAACUAAAUAUCAUGAACCAUACAUCAAACCCUAUGAGUCAUAAAACUCAUGAACCAUACAUCACAUCCCAUGAACCAAAUCUCAUACAUCCCAUGAACCAAAUCCCAUACACCAAACCCAAUGGACCAUAUCCAAGUUCAUGAAACAAAUCCAAUAAACGAACACCAUGAACCAUACCCAAGUUCAUGACUCAAGUCUCAUGUUCAUGAACUAGAAACCAAACCUCAUGAACCAUACCCAAGUUCAUGAACCAAAUCUUAUGAGCCAUAAACCAAACCCCAUAAACCAAACCAUACCAAGUUCAUCAUAAACCUCUUUACUCUAGUAUAUAUACCUAGAGUAAAAAUCAAAUAUCGACUACCCCUAAUACAU
Molecule: long non-coding RNA, 1597 nt
Filed under: Ananas comosus (pineapple)
Lineage: Eukaryota; Viridiplantae; Streptophyta; Magnoliopsida; Poales; Bromeliaceae
Description: long non-coding RNA (ACOM_LNC013623)
Source: RNAcentral